UUUAUCUUCUUGUUUCCCACUUUGGUGCCUUAUUCUCACUUUAGUGUUCCAUCUUUCUUCGUUCUGCUUGCUAUCUCACUCUUUCAGAUUUUGCUAAUAAUUGAGCUGAGUAAAAUUUUAUUGUUGUAAUACUAUGCUGGAAUGAACGUCGUGGACUCGUGCCCCUCGCCUUCAGCAGAAAAUUGCAAGCUUUGAAGAGAUAUGGGUUCCUUCAUUGCAUAAUUUGGAACAUAGUGACUGAAAAAAGCUUGACAAUGCACUAUCAAUAUGUCCAGUGUUGAGUAUAUCAAACUACUUCACCAUUAGCUACAGUUAUACGGUUAACAGUUUAGCUAGCACUUAUGUUAAGAUCCCGAGAUGGUCUCGCACUGCUAGAAGGGCAUAAUUCACGGGCCUCACAGUGAAAGCACGCUGGAAGGAUCCAAUUUUCAUAUACGCGGGCAGUUAUGGAGAGAGAGAAAUUGGAAGAUUUGGGAAAGUUCUUGAGAGCUUUGAAGAGGAUUAUGGCCAACUGUUAAUGCACCAUUAAGUGAAGUCGUUCCUCGGACUUUCUUGAGGAAACAUAUAAGGCUACCACCUUGCUAGAUGUGAAUGAUCAUUGAUUUGUCAGAUUAGUGGCCUAUUAGUUGAAAGAUGUAAAUGACCUUUGGUUCAAGUGCGUGGGGAAGAACAAGCCAUAGGACACACCUUCAAUGACUUGGGAAAAAUUCACCAAAAUAAUUAUUAAGAUGGUUGUUGUCGGGAGUGAAUGUCGCCCUUCGAUACCGUUUGAGACUCUGAAGCAAGAUGCCUUGUAUGUCUCAGAGUACAUUAUCAAGUUUGAGCCCCAAGGUAAUUUUAUUUCAAACAUUAAGACGAGGAAGAUGAUCACCAAUGGAUGUCUUUACCAUCUAGUCAAAGUCACUGAUGCAUACAUCGAGGUACCAAGCGUCUAGUCUGUACUAGUUGUUAGUGAGCUUCCUGUCACCCCCAAAAAGUCCUCUUCAAUUGUUCUUCCUUUGAUUUUUUUUAAGAAUCUAUGGAUUGGAAUGAUAAUCUAAUGUUAAUCCUUGUUAUUUUAAUAUAGUUUAAUCAUAGGAUGCUUAAAAA
Molecule: long non-coding RNA, 1089 nt
Organism: Lycium barbarum (goji berry)
Lineage: Eukaryota; Viridiplantae; Streptophyta; Magnoliopsida; Solanales; Solanaceae
Exons: 6
Source: RefSeq, a predicted model, not a curated record